AUGAUGACUCUCGGCAACGGAUAUCUCGGCUCUCGCAUCGAUGAAGAACGUAGCGAAAUGCGAUACCUGGUGUGAAUUGCAGAAUCCCGUGAGCCAUCGAGUCUUUGAACGCAAGUUGCGCCCGAGGCCACCCGGUCGAGGGCACGCCUGCCUGGGCGUCACUC
Molecule: ribosomal RNA, 164 nt
Filed under: Pinanga egregia
Lineage: Eukaryota; Viridiplantae; Streptophyta; Magnoliopsida; Arecales; Arecaceae
Also listed under: 1 other name
Description: 5.8S rRNA
Rfam family: 5.8S ribosomal RNA
About the family: 5.8S ribosomal RNA (5.8S rRNA) is a component of the large subunit of the eukaryotic ribosome.
Source: RNAcentral